GCACCCGUAGCUCAAUUGGAUAGAGCAUCUGACUACGGAUCAGAAGGUUCGGGGUUCGAAUCCCUGCGGGUGUACUA
RNAcentral lists this transfer RNA (77 nucleotides) under Ignavibacteriales bacterium. RNAcentral describes it as "tRNA-Arg". It matches the Rfam family "tRNA". From Rfam's summary of the family: Transfer RNA (tRNA) molecules are approximately 80 nucleotides in length. Their secondary structure includes four short double-helical elements and three loops (D, anti-codon, and T loops). Further hydrogen bonds mediate the characteristic L-shaped molecular structure. tRNAs have two regions of fundamental functional importance: the anti-codon, which is responsible for specific mRNA codon recognition, and the 3' end, to which the tRNAs corresponding amino acid is attached (by aminoacyl-tRNA synthetases). tRNAs cope with the degeneracy of the genetic code in two manners: having more than one tRNA (with a specific anti-codon) for a particular amino acid; and 'wobble' base-pairing, i.e. permitting non-standard base-pairing at the 3rd anti-codon position. Lineage: Bacteria; Pseudomonadati; Ignavibacteriota; Ignavibacteria; Ignavibacteriales. The record is from RNAcentral.